This is a non-coding RNA of Paramuricea clavata, 213 nucleotides long. NCBI's taxonomy places the organism in Eukaryota, Metazoa, Cnidaria, Anthozoa, Malacalcyonacea, Plexauridae. The record is from the annotation of a GenBank genome assembly.
AUUACAGGCUGGUCGAGUAUAUUUUAAUGUCGGGUAAUUUGUUUUGGAAUGCCUAAAUUCACAUAAUUGCACGAAAUCUGCGAUAAUAGAUAAAUAUAGGGGCAGCAUUAUAUGCUACCUUGUGCAAUUUCAUUACAACGUUUAGAAAGUAUGAGUAAUUUCCCUACAGUCAGCCCUAAAGGAUACAGUGUUAUAAUUCAAGAUCGCCACUCA